This is an RNA transcript of Branchiostoma belcheri (Belcher's lancelet), 2951 nucleotides long. RefSeq lists it as uncharacterized. The transcript is spliced from 7 exons. NCBI's taxonomy places the organism in Eukaryota, Metazoa, Chordata, Leptocardii, Amphioxiformes, Branchiostomatidae. The record is from RefSeq and is a predicted model, not a curated record.
AGGCACUGUGGGUAAUCCAGGGGACAGGGAGGGGUUUGCGCAGAUAGGCUGGUCGACGAUUAUUUUCUGUUUAAUGUUAUUUUAUAGAAUUUAUUCUGGGGUUAAUUCUGGACAGAUUUUGCCAGUUUUCUGUCAGGUAGACCAGGUUUACUUUUCAAAUCUAGACAGAACUUGUGACCUCAGUGUCAUAUAGUGGUGUUAUGUUACAGCCAAGUCACACCCCCAGAAGCAGACGAUUCCAAGCUGGAGGUUCAAAGGAUAUGGUGGACCCUCCCCACAAAGAGAGAUAAAGAUGGCGGAGUUGAUGGAUUUCAGUCAAUGAGAUGUUCAAAAACUGCGAUCAUUUCUUAUUGAGAGAAAUACCGGUACAUGACAAGCGCAAAGAGGAACUGAUCCAGUUGUGCAACGCUGCACAACUAAUAGGCUUGCCAAAGGUACUCUCUAACGCUGGCCAUUCUGCCAGUCUCGAACAAUCUGUCACGCAAAAGCUGACAUAAUUUGGACGGCGGUUUGAUUACGCUACCCAACCCAACUUCUUUGUCUGCAGGAUGGGAAGCAGACGGAUCAAGUUUACCUGAGCUGCUACAAGCAGGUGUGGAAAAGUACUUUGAGAGAACAUCUGCAGCAUACAUUCAUGAUGAAAAUUUUUAAAGAACUUGUUUACGAGGAAAACAAGGAUGUCAACAUUACUACAGCAGGCAAGGAGGCUCUCCGUGACGGAAAAAGUCUGCACGUUUCGGGACACGUCCAGAAUCUCCGUGUCCAUGCAGCUCAUCCUGACAGCCCCUACUGUUUUGUGCGCUGCAGCACUGUCAGAGAAACCAGUGUCUCCCUCCCACCAUAUGACACUUGGAUCAUUGUCCACAAAUCCAGAAACAUCCUGGUUGACGGUUAUUGCACCUGCCCUGGAGGUAUUCGAGGCACCUGCAAGCACGUCACAGCAUUGUGAAUACAAAACAAAUGAAAAUUCUGACAGCAAAAUGUCUUUCAGGCUGCGAAAAGACUUCAGAAACGUACACACAAUGUUUUGGAGGAGGCCAACUUUGCUGGACAGUGGUUCAUCUGGUACUGAACAGGAGUGCAACAUUUUGAAGUAUUGCUCCCGCAGAUACCUACACUGGCUUAAAUUCAGAGAGCACAAGCAGACACAGGAAUUUGCAGUACAUGACUGGUUGGAGGAUUGACCAGAGAUGAAGGAGCCGAGACAAAGCGUGUAGUCCAGAGAUGUUGGAGCACAAGGUUGAGAAGAACAUGUACUUCAUGACAAGAGAAAGGAAAGUCAUCCAGCAGUGUUUCACCAGGGACUUGAGGUGAAGAAGGAGGAGGACAAGAAGAUGAAAUGUUUGAAAGGGAGUGGGUGGAAAGCAGGCAAAACUGUAGGAGCACUGUAGGAAAGGUUCUUAUGUACAAAGGAAGCCGACUUGUCAGAGCAAACAGAGUCAACAGUUAGUACUGGCUCUCCAGAAGAAGAAGCAUAUGUGUGGUCACUUGUUUCAUUAUCAUUCUGUAGACUCUAGUCUGUGAUGGUAAAGCAUAUGUAUGAUCAAAAGCAAAAGUACUUGAGUCGUGUACAGGUUUGAAAACAUCAAACCAGUGCUGUAGGAUGUCAGGAUGAGAACAUAGUGAAGCAAACUGUUGUUCGAUAACAAUAUCUCUCUGUGUCUGAUGAGACUUCGGAAUUGUACAUGCAAACUGGUGACAUGACUGAAAAUGAUGUGUUAACGUGGAAACAAAAACACUACAGGACUCUCGAACUGAAGUAUUGCUCUCAACAUGGUCAACCAAAAUACUUGCCAACUUAUUGUUACGGUCUGAACUUAGAUGGUGCAAGAAAGACACAAGACGAGGCGUGCUGACUCCAGGAAAGCUAAAUGUUGAGUUUGGCGACACAUGAUGUAGUGGUUCUUGAAGGUGGAGUGAAGGAGUCCGACAAGCAAUUCUCGUCAGAAGAAGAAAUGUAGCCGUGGCGCAGCACUCGGAGAGACUUCAACUCAGAAUACAUGUUUUUAUUCUAGUAGGAGUAACAUGGGACUUGUAGGUUUUAUUUGGUUGGUUUAGAGGGAUGUUAUCGUCCUGCAUUCUCAAACCAUUAGUGCAUGUGAUGCCUUUAUUGUCAUAUUUACUGUGACUGGUUUCAUUAUAAAGAUGUCAUUACUAGCCAGAAAGUCCCCUGCAGUUCCAGAACAAGCUGCUAGGGGUACCAAACCCAUACUACUUAUUCCUGACAGAAAAAUCUAUCUGUCACCAAAAAAUCAAGACCAUAGCAUGUUCAGGACAAAAGAUACAAAAACCGGAAGUUCUACUGCAGUAUCAUGGUCAUCCACCAGGAAGCCCAUAUUUGAACUUGACCUUCGUCUUCCUAAGACCUACCAAUGCACACUGUCUGAAUCACAAAGGAGACCAACUAUUAAAUCCCUGUUUGGGGACUAGUUUUGCGAGACCAUCGUUCAGUUUGGCAAGUUAGGUACGCAAAAACGUCAAAAUCUUGCACAAGUCACAGGAUUGAGUACAUCCAGAAACGCGCGUGUCGGGUAAUACUCGGGUCGGCUUAUACUUCAUACCCAGAGGCAUGUGGAACACUGGACUUACCUACACUAGAAGACCGAAGGGUCCAACUUUGCCUGAACUUUGCUAGGAAAGUUCUCCGAUCACAGGACUUCCAACACUGAAUACCGCCCAGGAGGGGCACCACUGAGCGCACCACUCGUUCCAGUAAUAAACUGACUCUUACCAAGUGUAGUUCAACUGAGCGGUACAAACAGAGUAGCGUCCCGUACAUGAUCCACCUCUUAAACAGUCGCUGUUUGUCUUAGACACAGUAUGUCAACGAUGUUGUAAAUAAUGAUGUGGACAUUUGUGUUAAUAUUUGUGUAAAUAAUAUGCCUCAUUUAACUUUGAUGUACAACUGGACGUAAUUCAGCCUUUGGCUGCAAAGUCCACGUUUUUAUGAA